This is a long non-coding RNA of Capsella rubella, 446 nucleotides long. RefSeq lists it as uncharacterized. The record is from RefSeq and is a predicted model, not a curated record. The transcript is spliced from 3 exons. NCBI's taxonomy places the organism in Eukaryota, Viridiplantae, Streptophyta, Magnoliopsida, Brassicales, Brassicaceae.
GUGAGAUUCUUCUGUUUGGCUGCUACUGACCGAAUUUCUUUCAUCUUGAACUGUUGGAUUUGGUUCUUUUCCCUGCUGAACUGAUGAAAGACUAGUACGUUCACAACGAACUGGUUUACUCACCGAUGACUUGUAGUUCUUGAUCCGCCAUCAUGAUGGAUGUUGAAUAACCUCCUUGGAGAUGGACAAGGAGGAACGAAUGAUGUUCUGAACAGAUUCUAAGUAUGAGUUUGUGUAGUCUUCCUACAUGCAAAGAUGCCACUAUUGUUGACCAAGGGAUGUGUUAAAUGAAGGAGGACAUUAUUUCUAGCCAAUAUUUACUCAUCAUUUCUUCUGUAACUAUGUGGAGAAACAUGAACCUUAUACGCAUAGACAAAUAGAAAACUUCAUAUGCAUACGCAUGUAUGACAUGUACGAACAUGUGCACAAGUUGUAGUAUUGUGUGA